CACGUUAUUUUAAAUUUAAUUUUCAAAAUUAAGUAAAAUUUCUUCAAUUUUCAAAAGAUUGUAUUUUUUAUGUCAAGAUUGAAACUAUUACCUCAUAAUUUCUGUAACUUUAUAUAAGAGAGAGACACCUAAUUGGAACAACUGCCACCAUCAGCCAAUGUGCCUAGCCAAGCUGGUGGCAACAUCCCAGUCUGCUACUGUACAAUCGUGAGCAAAGGGGGCAGCAUGCUAAAGACCCCAGCAAUAUCCUUCAUUGGACCACCACUAUUGGCCUUCACUCCACCAUUAGCACCAUUGUUCCAAAUGCUAAUCUUAGGCUGCAAUCCAUUGACUGCUUGUGCAUUAAUCUUUACAAAUUCUUGGAACAAGUUUUUCUCAAGCAAGAUCUAGUCCCUCGAUGCAGCAUUUUUGCCACCGAAUUGUUUUAGAAGUGUGGUGAGGUAAAAUCCUUGUGCUUUUGCCAAUAUUUCAAUUGCUUCUGCUUCUUUCUUCUUUGCAUACAGCUCUCCAUCCGCAGCUUGUUGGCGAGCACAGAAGGCUGCAUCUGCAGUAGCUUUCUGUGCCUCUGCAUUC
RNAcentral lists this unclassified non-coding RNA (573 nucleotides) under Hevea brasiliensis (rubber tree). The record is from RNAcentral. Lineage: Eukaryota; Viridiplantae; Streptophyta; Magnoliopsida; Malpighiales; Euphorbiaceae.